RNAcentral lists this ribosomal RNA (492 nucleotides) under uncultured bacterium. RNAcentral describes it as "partial 16S ribosomal RNA". It matches the Rfam family "Bacterial small subunit ribosomal RNA", at positions 29 to 507 of the family's 1533-position model. The record is from RNAcentral.
AGUGAACGCUGGCGGUAGGCCUAACACAUGUAAGUCGAACGGCAGCACAGUAAGAGCUUGCUCUUACGGGUGGCGAGUGGCGGACGGGGGAGGAAUACAUCGGAAUCUACUUUUUCGUGGGGGAUAACGUAGGGAAACUUACGCUAAUACCGCAUACGACCUACGGGUGAAAGCAGGUGAUCUUCUGACCUUGCGCGAUUGAAUGAGCCGAUGUCGGAUUAGCUAGUUGGCGGGGUAAAGGCCCACCAAGGCUACGAUCCGUAGCUGGUCUGAGAGGAUGAUCAGCCACACUGGAACUGAGACACGGUCCAGACUCAUACGGGAGGCAGCAGUGGGGAAUAUUGGACACUGGGCGCAAGCCUGAUCCAGCCAUACCGCGUGGGUGAAGAAGGCCUUCGGGUUGUAAAGCCCUUUUGUUGGGAAAGAAAAGCAGCAGGUUAAUACCCCGCUGUUCUGACGGUACCCAAAGAAUAAGCACCGGCUAACUUCGUG